RNAcentral lists this ribosomal RNA (498 nucleotides) under uncultured bacterium. Its description in RNAcentral is "partial 16S ribosomal RNA". It matches the Rfam family "Bacterial small subunit ribosomal RNA", at positions 355 to 869 of the family's 1533-position model. The record is from RNAcentral.
UGGGGAAUAUUGCACAAUGGGCGAAAGCCUGAUGCAGCAGCGCCGCGUGAGUGAUGAAGGUCUUCGGAUUGUAAAGCUCUGUCUUUUGGGACGAUAAUGACGGUACCAAAGGAGGAAGCCACGGCUAACUACGUGCCAGCAGCCGCGGUAAUACGUAGGUGGCGAGCGUUGUCCGGAUUUACUGGGCGUAAAGGGUGCGUAGGCGGAUGUUUAAGUGAGAUGUGAAAUACCCGGGCUUAACUUGGGUGCUGCAUUUCAAACUGGAUAUCUAGAGUGCAGGAGAGGAGAAUGGAAUUCCUAGUGUAGCGGUGAAAUGCGUAGAGAUUAGGAAGAACACCAGUGGCGAAGGCGAUUCUCUGGACUGUAACUGACGCUGAGGCACGAAAGCGUGGGUAGCAAACAGGAUUAGAUACCCUGGUAGUCCACGCCGUAAACGAUGAGUACUAGGUGUAGGAGGUAUCGACCCCUUCUGUGCCGCAGUAAACACAUUAAGUACUC